Molecule: long non-coding RNA, 177 nt
Organism: Helianthus annuus (common sunflower)
Lineage: Eukaryota; Viridiplantae; Streptophyta; Magnoliopsida; Asterales; Asteraceae
Exons: 3
Source: RefSeq, a predicted model, not a curated record
UUUGACAAUUAAUCUAUGCGAAGACAAUGGAUCUAACAUUCUAGAUCAAGUGUCGAUUUGUUAAAGAAUCAAAUGGUUUUAUCAAUGGAUUUCAAGAUAAUCUCCUCAUUCUACGAUUGUUUGGUGUGGAUUUCUCGCAAUCAAAGUCUACACCUCACUAUGUCGCUUCUGAUUCUC